Molecule: long non-coding RNA, 233 nt
Organism: Hibiscus syriacus
Lineage: Eukaryota; Viridiplantae; Streptophyta; Magnoliopsida; Malvales; Malvaceae
Exons: 3
Source: RefSeq, a predicted model, not a curated record
UUGGAUGAAGAUGAUUAAGGUGAAGCUGCUUCAUUGCUUCUCUUUGAUUUUUUUCCCCUCUGACCCGACAAAUAUUAUUUAGUUUAUGUCUGGGUUUUAGAUUUGUAAAUCUGAGAACAGUUUGCAAAAUUUUCCUCACCGAGGUGUGGGUUGUAAAUCAACUACCGAUGUACCCUGUGAGAGAACUAAUGUCAAGAAUUUUGGGGCUGCCUAUCGGCUCUCCUUUUUUUUUC